GAUGAACGCUGGCGGCGUGCCUAAUACAUGCAAGUCGAGCGAACAGACGAGGAGCUUGCUCCUCUGAUGUUAGCGGCGGACGGGUGAGUAACACGUGGAUAACCUACCUAUAAGACUGGGAUAACUUCGGGAAACCGGAGCUAAUACCGGAUAACAUGUUGAACCGCAUGGUUCAACAGUGAAAGACGGUCUUGCUGUCACUUAUAGAUGGAUCCGCGCCGCAUUAGCUAGUUGGUAAGGUAACGGCUUACCAAGGCAACGAUGCGUAGCCGACCUGAGAGGGUGAUCGGCCACACUGGAACUGAGACACGGUCCAGACCCCUACGGGAGGCAGCAGUAGGGAAUCUUCCGCAAUGGGCGAAAGCCUGACGGAGCAACGCCGCGUGAGUGAAGAAGGUCUUCGGAUCGUAAAACUCUGUUAUUAGGGAAGAACAAAUGUGUAAGUAACUAUGCACGUCUUGACGGUACCUAAUCAGAAAGCCACGGCUAACUACGUG
RNAcentral lists this ribosomal RNA (497 nucleotides) under uncultured bacterium. Its description in RNAcentral is "partial 16S ribosomal RNA". It matches the Rfam family "Bacterial small subunit ribosomal RNA", at positions 28 to 507 of the family's 1533-position model. The record is from RNAcentral.